Molecule: long non-coding RNA, 1651 nt
Organism: Mauremys mutica (yellowpond turtle)
Lineage: Eukaryota; Metazoa; Chordata; Testudines; Geoemydidae
Exons: 5
Source: RefSeq, a predicted model, not a curated record
GGGUGGCUGGGCCAAAUUUGAGUGAGUGGUGCUACAAGGUAGUUCAGUUCUUCCCUCUCCCUCCAAGGACGUGACAGAGCUGUGUUAAUGUCCUGCACUGCCUGACUCAUCCCUUCCUCCGUGCACUAGCAUUUCCGCUGGUCUCAGGACACACGAACAGACAGCUGCUGGAGCACCAGGGAAGUGGUCCGGGGUCGCCCAAGAACCCCUGAAACAGCCCUUCAGACAAUUGUGGUAUGAAUUGAAUUGUUCUAACAUAUAAAUCACACCAGACAUGUCUAUGGACCCUCUAACACAAUGCAACAGGGAUGGAAGCUGUUAAAACUGAUGUCACAGCAUUAUCCAGAUCAUGAGCAUUACUGGAAGCUGGACCUUGGUCACCCUUAAAUCCCUGAGGGCCCUGGUAACGAGGAGGAAGGAAUGGAAGACACAAAAGACCAGUUUAUGCUCGUGAAACCUGAACUGACACAGCUUGUGUGGCAGAAUGAGGCAGCAGUUCUCAAACCGCGGUGGUGAUACUCACUGGGCCAAAUUCAAGCCUGUGGCCCAAGAGAUACCAUCUUUGCCUGCAUGCCUCACUAAAACAGAGAGACUGCAUCUGGGGAUUAACGGCGGGAAUUGAGAAAGACCAUCUACAGCUUCUCCAGUGGUACACAAGACUCUGAGCACUUCCAGGUUGUGCUGGGGGUGGGAGUGUUCCCUGCAGAGCUCCAUGCUGCUCUGAGGCACAAGCCAUGAAGCACUAGCUACAUCAGCAACUGGAACAUAGUGACCUUAGAGAAAUCAGGACAAAUAUAUCACCCAAAAAAUAACACUAAAACUCAUUGACAGGCCUGUUACUCCUCCAUGGAGCUCUUUGUGGAAUCCAGCUAGAAACCAAGGGAAAAAACUGCCAAUGACCUAAAUUUGCAUGUAUCAAGCUGAGAAUCUCUCUCCCCCUCUCCUCCUAGACCUACAGGCCAGAGGAGACAUCUCGCUCGGAAAGCAGAAGCAAGAGGAACGGACAGCUGAUUCCUCUGAAAGUGGGGGCGGGGAGGGAGAGGAGAAAAAUGAAUGAAAGGGAGCAGCAUGGCGAAGGGAAGCAAAAGGGAACUGCGGGUAGAUCGGAUGUUAUCACUGGGAACAUUGUGGGAUGAGGAAAGCUUGGGAGAGCAGAAUUAAAGAGGCAUCGUUACCAGACUGGUGAUGCACUGCCAGAAAACAGUAUAACAGGGAGGUCAGGGAAAAUCUACUCUCUCUUAUAACUGUGAAGGCUGGACCCGCAGCAGUUAAAGACAAAAGAGGCUUCUUGGGGGAGAUGGGUGAGAACCAGGAACUGAAGAGGACAGUCACUGGGAAGAAAGAAGAGAACAAUCACUGAAAGAAGCGGACAGUCACUGGGAAACGGUCGAGUGUUUGGUGAGAAGAGGCUCAGAGAAGAGGAUGGUUUUUAAUUCAGAAAAAAACAAACACCUUUUUGUGAACUAGGUACAGAUCAAGAAUGCGGGUUUCAAAGCCAUCUAGGGGAUUUGGACACCUGAUUCCCCCUGUGUUUUAAUGGGAUUUGGGUAUUCAAAUCCCUUAGACAGCUUUGAAAAUCUCAGCUGAAUUUUGCAGAGCGGUUUGCUCAGUCCCAGCUGAGAGAGUGAGGAUACCUCACCCCAGCAUGAAU